UGGUAAUCAGUAGGCGGAGGCCUCCACUGAAAAUCCUGGUUAGGUCCAACCAUUAAUGAACUAACUCGAUGACACUACCUAAUGUAUGAUCAGGCCCGAGGAAGGCUCGGCCAACCUAAUCACAAUUAGAUAGCUCAAAAAGCUAUCAUAUAAUGAAGGAUAAUUCCAGUAUUUAGAGGAACACCAGACGGAAGCGUCCUGCAUGUUCAACUGUAAUAUUGGACCCAUUAUUAUUCACCUUAAUGGGAGGCUAUGAUCUAGUUAUCUAUAUAACUUUAUCAUUUUAAGGACCUAAUAAUUUAGAGGAUUUUAAAUGAUAUGUAACACUGACCGAUAAUUCUAAAUCCUCCCACUGACUUCACCAAAUCAUAUAGAGGACUAGCUCUUAUUGGUCUAUUAGACACCUAAAUCAGUCACACUGAUUUUCCAUAAUGGCAUGGGUGAGUGCCAAGUCUCAAGGUACCUUAAUCAAAACUUGAUCGACCAAAUUGGCCAGGUAAGAGAGAUCAUGGGAGGGUUA
Molecule: long non-coding RNA, 520 nt
Filed under: Phoenix dactylifera (date palm)
Lineage: Eukaryota; Viridiplantae; Streptophyta; Magnoliopsida; Arecales; Arecaceae
Description: long non-coding RNA (PDAC_LNC011786)
Source: RNAcentral